Mustela erminea (ermine) is the source of this 2455-nucleotide long non-coding RNA. RefSeq lists it as uncharacterized. The transcript has 3 exons. Lineage: Eukaryota; Metazoa; Chordata; Mammalia; Carnivora; Mustelidae. The record is from RefSeq and is a predicted model, not a curated record.
GGCCGGGGUCGGGGCGGGGGUAGGCGGGGUGUGCGGAGGGCGGAUCCCAGGCGUCGGGUCCCCCUUUGUUCCCCGCCGCCCUAGCCUGGCGUCCGAGGUACCCCCUCACCCCCAUCCCCCGCUUCUCCGGGUGGUGGCCUCGCUGUCCCCAAUCUGUGCCCCGGUGCCCUCGGUGUUCUAGGGUCCCGGGCGGGAGAGGCGGGGGGAAACUGCUCCCCGCCGUGGGGACCCCCGGGUCCCAGCGGAGUGAGGGGUGGGAGGGGGAGACGGCCCCUCGUCGGCCCCGCCUGCCACCGCCAUUGUUUACCCGUCGGCUGCCUCCUAGGAAACUUAACCCGCCCGCGGUAAUUUUAUUUGGGAACUUCGGCCAGUUGCCAUAGCAACCCCCAGUGACGUCAGAGGGGCUGGGGCCCGAAAUCCCCGGGAAAGGGGGGAUGGGAUUAUGGGGGAGACCCUCAGGAGGGCCCCUCUUUAACCCUGCGCCUGCCAGGCCCCAGUCCGAGGGGAGAGGACAGCCAGAUGGGACACCUCUUGGGCGCCCCCAUUCUGGCGCGGCGCCAAGUGAGGGUGGCAGGCCAGGCCCUGAUGUCAUCUGGUGCUGGGUGGGUGGUGAGUCAGUACUCCGGUGGGGGCUGGGCCAGGCCUGGGGGCUAUUCCUGUCUGACUCACCCCUCCAGGGCCCCGGAGCAACACCCAGACCCUGCCCUAGGGAUUUCAGGCGCCAGGCUGGGGGGAGGGGGUCCCCACAGGUCUCUGGGGCCUCUGCUUCUCUGAACUCUAGGGCCUGUUUGAUGUCUCUGUGUGCUGCGUUGCCAUGGGGCCCGGCAGGCAGCCCUACGUGUGAGCUGGGGUGACCUACGGGGCGGCUGGGUCUAUCAGGGUCCCUUGACCCAGCGCCCCCAUCCCAGGCCUACAGGAGUCCCUAGACCAGCAUGUUCCUGCCUCAGGACCUUUGCACUGGCCGUUCCCUCCACCUUGGACUUUUCCUCCAGAUGUCUGCAAGGCACUUCCUUCACCUCCUACAAGUCUUUGUUCAAAUGUCACCUCCACCUCAUGCAGCCUGUCCUGACCUGGUCCCCACGGGCUCCGUCCUCAUCUCCUUUCCCCCCUUCUGUCCUCCCUUAGCACCUAGCACCCAACAUGCAGUGUAUCUUUACGCCUAUCUGUUUCUGUGUGUGUUUAUUUCCUUUACAGAUGUCAGCGCCAUGGCGGCAAAGAUUUUUUUCUGGCUUGUUCUCUGCGGUGUCCCCAGUGCCCAGAACAGUGCAGUGCCUGGCACCCAGCAGGCACUCAAUGAAUGUUUGAAGAAUAAACAAAUGGGCGUGUGUGAGUGUGUGUGUGUGUGUGCGCGUGUGUGAUCCCUGUCCCACUUGACCACUUAACCUGGCCUCACCCGGGCCCUGUCCCCCUACCCCUCCCUGUCAUGACAAAGGAUCAGCUGGCCGGUUUGGAGAGCUCCUAUCCCUGUUGGCUGCUGUCCCUGGGUAAAUUGGCCAGCCCAGGACGAGGGCAUGUGGGGCAAACGUCGGGGGAUCCUGAGGGAGGCUGGUGGCACUGGGAGGUCCCUCCAAGCUUGUGCUGAGGGAUGCUUAGUGAGCUGGGAUGAUUUGAGCCAUGGGCAGGUAAUGUUUUAUACAAGGCCAUGGCACAGAUAUCCCUGGAGGACAGCAUGGAGGAGGCAUUUCUCUUAAAUGUGUGCCCAACCGGAUUACUAACGGAAGAAGGAUGGCUCUAGAUGGGAGGCUUUGUCUUGGGGUCUGAAGGAAGCAUUCUGGAGGGGCAGCGUGGAGGGGGUGCCCUGUUGUAAUUUGGUCACUUUCUAUUUAGGCAAUGAGAAGCCUGUGUGUAUGUCUCCACAGGGAGACCCUGGACCCUGAGAACUCCAUUCCUCUGUUUGUAGCUGCUCAGGAGGCCAUGUGGCAAGUGCCCCACCCCUCUCCCGGCCCCACCCUGAGUCGGGGAAUUCUGUGCCACCCCAAAUCUUCCCCCAGGGCCCCACAGGCUGCUCUGCCCCCUCCUGCCCCAACCUGCCAGAUCCUGCAGCUUGGGCCAGCCUGCCCCUUGGGCCCCACAGAGAAGAAAGACCCAGGAACCCCCCAGGCUGGGUCCCAUGGGAUGGUAGCUGGGUGUGGCUUCUACCCGCCUCUCCCCAUUCCCACUAAGAUCCAAGGUGGGAGCUUGCUGAGCUGAACGGAGGAAAUGGAGGAUUUUGGAGGAAUUCUGGGGUGCGAAAUGACCCAGAGGCCUCCAACCAGCCCCUCUGAUCCCCUGCCUGGGCCUGCUGCUGGGUUCCCCACACCCUAGCAUUCCUCUCACUGCCCAGGAGGAGGGUGGUGAAGAAUCUGACCCCCAGCGCCGAUUACACGACUUCAGAAAUGUUGGGAGUGGGUGUCAAAAAACACUCCCCCAAAGCAAUGCCCACACAGGUCGGCGAAGGGUCCUUUGGCUCCAGAAC